CAAGGACAAGGUCCGUCCGCGUUGCUUAAGGACAUAUUUUUGGGGUAAAUAAUCGUGUUUUGGCGGUCUCGCCGGUGACAGGCAGGAUGGAGGAUACUCAUCAACUGCCUCCUCAAAUGCGCGGGCUUUUUUUUUUUCUUUUUCUUUUUUAAUUCCCCCAAAAAUGGUAGAGGAGGAGAAAACAUGGCGGCCGUUGAGAUGAGCGGAAGCUGCUACGGGCCAGCAAUGUGGAUCACGAACUCAUUCGCGUCGAUGUGACACAAAUAUUUUGAGUUCCCUGAGGCCCAUUGUACGUUGGGAUGAAAGCUGGGAUCAAAAGUAAAGGAACAGUGAAGUGAAGACCACCGACCAUCAAGGGCGGAGGCAAGGCAGACCACACAACGCAGGAGGCCUGGGGAAAUCAUUAACUACACACAAACUCAAACAGUAUGACUGACUGGAUCCUACUCCACCCUCCGUAUCCCUGAGACCGACACCCCCCCGUCG
Molecule: long non-coding RNA, 486 nt
Organism: Xiphias gladius (swordfish)
Lineage: Eukaryota; Metazoa; Chordata; Actinopteri; Istiophoriformes; Xiphiidae
Exons: 5
Source: RefSeq, a predicted model, not a curated record